This 254-nucleotide ribosomal RNA is filed under the name uncultured bacterium. RNAcentral's name for it is "partial 16S ribosomal RNA". It matches the Rfam family "Bacterial small subunit ribosomal RNA", at positions 524 to 776 of the family's 1533-position model. The record is from RNAcentral.
UACGUAGGGUGCAAGCGUUGUCCGGAAUUAUUGGGCGUAAAGAGCUCGUAGGCGGUCUGUCGCGUCGGCUGUGAAAUCCCGAGGCUCAACCUCGGGUCUGCAGUCGAUACGGGCAAACUAGAGUAUUGCAGGGGAGACUGGAAUUCCUGGUGUAGCGGUGAAAUGCGCAGAUAUCAGGAGGAACACCGGUGGCGAAGGCGCUCAUCUGGCCCAAUACUGACGCUGGAAGCGCGAAAGCUAGGGGAGCAAACGGG